RNAcentral lists this ribosomal RNA (468 nucleotides) under uncultured bacterium. RNAcentral describes it as "partial 16S ribosomal RNA". It matches the Rfam family "Bacterial small subunit ribosomal RNA", at positions 28 to 507 of the family's 1533-position model. The record is from RNAcentral.
GACGAACGCUGGCGGCGUGCUUAACACAUGCAAGUCGGACGGAAAGGCCCUGCUUUUGUGGGGUGCUCGAGUGGCGAACGGGUGAGUAACACGUGAGUAACCUGCCCUUGACUUUGGGAUAACUUCAGGAAACUGGGGCUAAUACCGGAUAGGAGCUCCUGCUGCAUGGUGGGGGUUGGAAAGUUUCGGCGGUUGGGGAUGGACUCGCGGCUUAUCAGCUUGUUGGUGGGGUAGUGGCUUACCAAGGCUUUGACGGGUAGCCGGCCUGAGAGGGUGACCGGCCACAUUGGGACUGAGAUACGGACCAGACUCCUACGGGAGGCAGCAGUGGGGAAUAUUGCACAAUGGGCGGAAGCCUGAUGCAGCAACGCCGCGUGCGGGAUGACGGCCUUCGGGUUGUAAACCGCUUUCGCCUGUGACGAAGCGUGAGUGACGGUAAUGGGUAAAGAAGCACCGGCUAACUACGUG